RNAcentral lists this ribosomal RNA (433 nucleotides) under uncultured bacterium. RNAcentral's name for it is "partial 16S ribosomal RNA". It matches the Rfam family "Bacterial small subunit ribosomal RNA", at positions 29 to 507 of the family's 1533-position model. The record is from RNAcentral.
AACGAACGCUGGCGGCAUGCCUAACACAUGCAAGUCGAACGAGACCUUCGGGUCUAGUGGCGCACGGGUGCGUAACGCGUGGGAACCUGCCCUUAGGUUCGGAAUAACUCCCCGAAAGGGGUGCUAAUACCGGAUAAUGUCUUCGGACCAAAGAUUUAUCGCCUUUGGAUGGGCCCGCGUUGGAUUAGCUAGUUGGUAGGGUAAAAGCCUACCAAGGCGACGAUCCAUAGCUGGUCUGAGAGGAUGAUCAGCCACACUGGGACUGAGACACGGCCCAGACUCCUACGGGAGGCAGCAGUGGGGAAUAUUGGACAAUGGGCGAAAGGCUGAUCCAGCAAUGCCGCGUGAGUGAUGAAGGCCUUAGGGUUGUAAAGCUCUUGUACCCGGGAUGAUAAUGACAGUACCGGGAGAAUAAGCUCCGGCUAACUCCGUG